GGGGCUAUAGCUCAGCUGGUAGAGCACUUGCCUGGCAGGCAAGGGGUCAGGGGUUCGAGUCCCCUUAGCUCCA
This 73-nucleotide transfer RNA is filed under the name Actinomycetales bacterium. Its description in RNAcentral is "tRNA-Ala". It matches the Rfam family "tRNA". From Rfam's summary of the family: Transfer RNA (tRNA) molecules are approximately 80 nucleotides in length. The record is from RNAcentral. Lineage: Bacteria; Bacillati; Actinomycetota; Actinomycetes; Actinomycetales.